UAUUUAAUAGUAUAUAUAUAUUACAUUUAGUUUCGACCUAAAAAAAGCUUAAAGGCUUUUAAUAA
Molecule: transfer RNA, 65 nt
Filed under: Tinaminyssus melloi
Lineage: Eukaryota; Metazoa; Arthropoda; Arachnida; Mesostigmata; Rhinonyssidae
Description: tRNA-Arg
Source: RNAcentral